This 510-nucleotide ribosomal RNA is filed under the name uncultured bacterium. Its description in RNAcentral is "partial 16S ribosomal RNA". It matches the Rfam family "Bacterial small subunit ribosomal RNA", at positions 28 to 507 of the family's 1533-position model. The record is from RNAcentral.
GACGAACGCUGGCGGCGUGCUUAACACAUGCAAGUCGAACGAAGAGCGAUGGAAGCUUGCUUCUAUCAAUCUUAGUGGCGAACGGGUGAGUAACGCGUAAUCAACCUGCCUUUCAGAGGGGGACAACAGUUGGAAACGACUGCUAAUACCGCAUACGAUCUGACCUCGGCAUCGAGGAUAGAUGAAAGGUGGCCUCUACAUGUAAGCUAUCACUGAAGGAGGGGAUUGCGUCUGAUUAGCUAGUUGGAGGGGUAACGGCCCACCAAGGCGAUGAUCAGUAGCCGGUCUGAGAGGAUGAACGGCCACAUUGGGACUGAGACACGGCCCAGACUCCUACGGGAGGCAGCAGUGGGGAAUCUUCCGCAAUGGACGAAAGUCUGACGGAGCAACGCCGCGUGAGUGAUGACGGCCUUCGGGUUGUAAAGCUCUGUUAAUCGGGACGAAAGGCCUUUUUGCGAAUAGUGAGAAGGAUUGACGGUACCGGAAUAGAAAGCCACGGCUAACUACGUG